AAUUUUGUUUCAGCUUUCAACAUACACUGGGAGAUGGCUCGGACCCGUCUUUGUUCUAUAUCUGUACCUUUUCUUAUUCUGCUAAUAAUCGCCUUUACUUUCUUUGCACAGAUUACUCCAAUUAAUAGUGCAGAUAUGAAGAUGAGAAAAUUGGGUCUCCUCCCAAGUCCUCCUCCUCAACCCAUUGUUAGUCCCGGCCCAGAAGUUCAUUAAGCUCGUGCUCCUUCUUCUCAUCCUGAUCCACCCCAUAAUCGCCAAACUUUCAACAUAAAGAUGGCUCGGACCACUCUUUCAUCUAUAUUUGUACCUUUCCUCAUUUUGCUCGUAAUUGCCAUUACUUUCUUUGCAGAGCUUACUCCAGUUAGUGCAGAUCUGAAAAUGAGAAAAUUGGGUUCACACCCAAGUCCACCUCCUCCACCCUUGCGUGCCCCGUCUCGGCAUACUCGUCCUCCUCGUCCUCGGCAUCGUCAUCCUCCUCCUCAUCCUCCAGCCAUUUCCUAACUUUUCAUGUUAUUUGAUCCCUGCAAUAUUACAAGAAAACAUGAGGGAAUCAAGGUUCAUGAUUUGAGUUUUUCUUCGAUCAGCAGGCACAAAAUUUCAACAGGCCGGCCGACCCCUUCAUUAAGUUGUUGGCAUAAUUUUCUAUGGGAGAUUUCAUUGAAAACUCAAAUAAUUAAAAGUAUCAUUGACUCUCAUGCAUUCGUGACUAUAAAUUUCGGUGACUACGAAGCAACCUGAUCUGAAAAUGAGAAAAUUGGGUCUCAUGCCAAGUCCACCUCCUCCACCCCAGCCUGGCAAACCACAACAUCCUCGUCAUCCUCCUCGGCAAGAUGGUCCCUAACUGUGUGUUACUUGAUCCCUGCAACAUUACAAAAAAUCAUUUGAGCCUGAUCAAGCUUUAAUUCAUACUCAUUUUCUUUAUAUAAAUAGCUUUACAUUAUUUGGUUUAUGUCCAAAUAACACUAUCUGUCUAAAGGCAGGAUAUAUUGAAUAUUUUAUUCAAAGCGUGUAUGCAUGUGCAAUUAGAUUUGGAGAAAUUAAAAGCUUUUUUA
Molecule: long non-coding RNA, 1052 nt
Filed under: Glycine max (soybean)
Lineage: Eukaryota; Viridiplantae; Streptophyta; Magnoliopsida; Fabales; Fabaceae
Description: uncharacterized LOC100526859 (LOC100526859)
Source: RNAcentral